Molecule: ribosomal RNA, 253 nt
Filed under: uncultured bacterium
Lineage: Bacteria
Description: partial 16S ribosomal RNA
Rfam family: Bacterial small subunit ribosomal RNA
Source: RNAcentral
GACAGAGGGUGCAAACGUUGUUCGGAAUUACUGGGCGUAAAGCGUGUGUAGGCGGUCUCUUAAGUCGGAUGUGAAAGCCCCGGGCUCAACCCGGGAAGUGCACUCGAAACUGGGAGGCUAGAGUACUGGAGAGGUUGGUGGAAUUCUCGGUGUAGAGGUGAAAUUCGUAGAUAUCGAGAGGAACACCGGUAGCGAAGGCGGCCAACUGGACAGAUACUGACGCUGAGACACGAAAGCGUGGGGAGCAAACAGG